UACGUAGGCAGCAAGCGUUGUUCGGAGUUACUGGGCGUAAAGAGUGCGUAGGUGGUGCCCUAAGUCUGUUGUGAAAUCUCCCGGCUUAACUGGGAGGGUGCGGUGGAAACUGGGGUGCUUGAGUGUGGGAGAGGCGAGUGGAAUUCCUGGUGUAGCGGUGAAAUGCGCAGAUAUCAGGAGGAACACCGAUGGCGAAGGCAGCUCGCUGGGACGUGACUGACGCUGAGACGCGAAAGCGUGUGGAGCAAACAGG
This 253-nucleotide ribosomal RNA is filed under the name uncultured bacterium. RNAcentral describes it as "partial 16S ribosomal RNA". It matches the Rfam family "Bacterial small subunit ribosomal RNA", at positions 524 to 776 of the family's 1533-position model. The record is from RNAcentral.